This 386-nucleotide ribosomal RNA is filed under the name uncultured bacterium. RNAcentral's name for it is "bacterial SSU rRNA". It matches the Rfam family "Bacterial small subunit ribosomal RNA", at positions 29 to 402 of the family's 1533-position model. The record is from RNAcentral.
AACGAACGCUGGCGGCGCGCCUAACACAUGCAAGUCGAACGAGAAUCCGGGGCAACCCGGUAGUAAAGUGGCAAACGGGUGAGGAAUACAUGGGUAACCUACCCUUGAGAAGGGAAUAACCCGCCGAAAGGUGAGCUAAAUACCCUAUACGCUAUCUUUUUUUUCGAAAAGGAUAGGAAAGCCGGGUCGAGGACCUGGGUACUCAAGGAGGGGCUCAUGUCCUAUCAGCUUGUUGGUGGGGUAACGGCCUACCAAGGCUACGACGGGUAGCUGGUCUGAGAGGAUGAUCAGCCACACUGGCACUGAGAUACGGGCCAGACUCCUACGGGAGGCAGCAGUGAGGAAUAUUGCGCAAUGGGCGAAAGCCUGACGCAGCGACGCCGCGU